RNAcentral lists this unclassified non-coding RNA (251 nucleotides) under Hevea brasiliensis (rubber tree). The record is from RNAcentral. Lineage: Eukaryota; Viridiplantae; Streptophyta; Magnoliopsida; Malpighiales; Euphorbiaceae.
GUUAUGUGUAGCUAUUUCCUUCAUCUGAAUACAAGUGCUCGAAAAAGGGGUAAGAAAACAAAGAGGCAAGCUUAGGACCAUAAAUAGGAAUCAAAGGAAACCAGAAAUGCAUUUUAGGAAUCAAAAUGGGACAUCAAAGAGCUACAUGGACAGAUCAGGAAGGCACAUAAAUUCUACCACUUAAUUGCAAUGCCCAAUUACAGUUGCAAUUUCAGGGGGAAAAAAUGUGACUGCUUAAACAAAGUCAAAAC